GGCCUUUCAAUUUGCGCAAAGACUGCCUAUAUUCAGCCUGUCAGUUCGCCUGACUAUGGCAAUAAACGGGCGAUGAAAUAAGCCGUUCGGACCCGGGGGCGGUACCCGGCGCCUCCACCAAAAACCGCUCUUGAGGGAGCGGCUUUUGAUGGGGGCGAAACAGGAUCGACGAAGGUGUAAAGAUCGUACUUUUGCCCGGCAUUGUACCACCGUUAUCGGGCUAAACUUAUAGUUGCCAACGACAACUAUGCGGAAGCUCGUCUCGCUGCUUAAUGCGGCGCGAACGCUUCAAAUCAAGCCCUAGCGGUUCGCACCUCUAGGCGGGGUCCGGAGGCACCUGGCAACAGAAGCCUCCACU
RNAcentral lists this transfer-messenger RNA (358 nucleotides) under Pseudaminobacter salicylatoxidans. RNAcentral's name for it is "Alphaproteobacteria transfer-messenger RNA". It matches the Rfam family "Alphaproteobacteria transfer-messenger RNA". From Rfam's summary of the family: Bacterial tmRNA, also known as 10Sa RNA or SsrA, is named for its dual tRNA and mRNA-like properties. Its role is to liberate the mRNA from a stalled ribosome. To accomplish this part of the tmRNA is used as a reading frame that ends in a translation stop signal. Lineage: Bacteria; Pseudomonadati; Pseudomonadota; Alphaproteobacteria; Hyphomicrobiales; Phyllobacteriaceae. The record is from Rfam by way of RNAcentral.